This 761-nucleotide unclassified non-coding RNA is filed under the name Melitaea cinxia (Glanville fritillary). RNAcentral's name for it is "misc RNA ENSMCXG00005007005.1". Lineage: Eukaryota; Metazoa; Arthropoda; Insecta; Lepidoptera; Nymphalidae. The record is from RNAcentral.
CAGGCUUAUAAAUCAAAUAGAAAAUAAUGAGAGGAAGUUAGAGGCGGAUUUUUCCAUUGACCCCGCGUUUGAAUUGGCACAACUUGUUUAUGGAAAUAAAGAUAACCCUGGACCGUUGCUGACUCCGGAUCUAAGCUUUUGUGUUGUUUCCGGAGAAAAUUGUGCGACUUAUCCCAGACAGUUUGAUAUAUGCGGCAGUCCCAUCGCCGAGGACUCCAUAUACUUCGCCGUUAAGACUUGGACCGGUUUCCACGAAACCAGAGCGAAGGUGGUCAAAAAGACAUGGGGAAAACACGUCACGCAUUUGCAAUUCUUCAGCGAUAAGUCUGAUCCGAAACUUCCAGCGGUUGACACUGGUGUACCAAACACGAAAACGGGUCAUUGCUUGAAAACGGUUACUAUUUUAAAGGAAGCGUUGAAGAGGGUGGAAAAUCUACCAAAUAUCAAAUGGAUAUUCCUUGCAGACGAUGAUACUAUUUUAGGUGUCCAACGGCUUUGCGAAGUACUAAGCUGCUACCGAGGCGGUGACGAUGUUACGGUACUGGGUGAAAGAUAUGGCUACGGAUACGGCAAGAAAGAAAGGCUCGGCAAAGGCUACGACUUCAUAACUGGUGGCGGUGGGACGGCACUAAGUGUGGGCGCCGUGCGCGUGCUAGCGGACUGCGCGUGCGCGUCGCCGUCCGCGCCCGACGACAUGGCGCUCGGGGCCUGCGCGGUGCGGCGCGGGCUGGCGCUCGCGCACUCGCCGCUGUUCCACCAGG